GACGAACGCUGGCGGCGUGCUUAACACAUGCAAGUCGAACGCUGAAGCUCAGCUUUUGUUGGGUGGAUGAGUGGCGAACGGGUGAGUAACACGUGAGUAACCUGCCCCCUUCUUUGGGAUAACGCCCGGAAACGGGUGCUAAUACUGGAUAUUCACUGGUCUUCGCAUGGGGGUUGGUGGAAAGGGUUUUUCUGGUGGGGGAUGGGCUCGCGGCCUAUCGGCUUGUUGGUGGGGUGAUGGCCUACCAAGGCUUUGACGGGUAGCCGGCCUGAGAGGGUGACCGGUCACAGUGGGACUGAGAUACGGCCCAGACUCCUACGGGAGGCAGCAGUGGGGAAUAUUGCACAAUGGGCGCAAGCCUGAUGCAGCGACGCCGCGUGAGGGAUGGAGGCCUUCGGGUUGUGAACCUCUUUCGCUCAUGGUCAAGCCGCAACAAUGGUUGUGGUGAGGGUAGUGGGUAAAGAAGCGCCGGCUAACUACGUG
This 483-nucleotide ribosomal RNA is filed under the name uncultured bacterium. RNAcentral's name for it is "partial 16S ribosomal RNA". It matches the Rfam family "Bacterial small subunit ribosomal RNA", at positions 28 to 507 of the family's 1533-position model. The record is from RNAcentral.